Molecule: ribosomal RNA, 1367 nt
Filed under: Lactiplantibacillus plantarum
Lineage: Bacteria; Bacillati; Bacillota; Bacilli; Lactobacillales; Lactobacillaceae
Description: bacterial SSU rRNA
Rfam family: Bacterial small subunit ribosomal RNA
Source: RNAcentral
AUUGGUGCUUGCAUCAUGAUUUACAUUUGAGUGAGUGGCGAACUGGUGAGUAACACGUGGGAAACCUGCCCAGAAGCGGGGGAUAACACCUGGAAACAGAUGCUAAUACCGCAUAACAACUUGGACCGCAUGGUCCGAGUUUGAAAGAUGGCUUCGGCUAUCACUUUUGGAUGGUCCCGCGGCGUAUUAGCUAGAUGGUGAGGUAACGGCUCACCAUGGCAAUGAUACGUAGCCGACCUGAGAGGGUAAUCGGCCACAUUGGGACUGAGACACGGCCCAAACUCCUACGGGAGGCAGCAGUAGGGAAUCUUCCACAAUGGACGAAAGUCUGAUGGAGCAACGCCGCGUGAGUGAAGAAGGGUUUCGGCUCGUAAAACUCUGUUGUUAAAGAAGAACAUAUCUGAGAGUAACUGUUCAGGUAUUGACGGUAUUUAACCAGAAAGCCACGGCUAACUACGUGCCAGCAGCCGCGGUAAUACGUAGGUGGCAAGCGUUGUCCGGAUUUAUUGGGCGUAAAGCGAGCGCAGGCGGUUUUUUAAGUCUGAUGUGAAAGCCUUCGGCUCAACCGAAGAAGUGCAUCGGAAACUGGGAAACUUGAGUGCAGAAGAGGACAGUGGAACUCCAUGUGUAGCGGUGAAAUGCGUAGAUAUAUGGAAGAACACCAGUGGCGAAGGCGGCUGUCUGGUCUGUAACUGACGCUGAGGCUCGAAAGUAUGGGUAGCAAACAGGAUUAGAUACCCUGGUAGUCCAUACCGUAAACGAUGAAUGCUAAGUGUUGGAGGGUUUCCGCCCUUCAGUGCUGCAGCUAACGCAUUAAGCAUUCCGCCUGGGGAGUACGGCCGCAAGGCUGAAACUCAAAGGAAUUGACGGGGGCCCGCACAAGCGGUGGAGCAUGUGGUUUAAUUCGAAGCUACGCGAAGAACCUUACCAGGUCUUGACAUACUAUGCAAAUCUAAGAGAUUAGACGUUCCCUUCGGGGACAUGGAUACAGGUGGUGCAUGGUUGUCGUCAGCUCGUGUCGUGAGAUGUUGGGUUAAGUCCCGCAACGAGCGCAACCCUUAUUAUCAGUUGCCAGCAUUAAGUUGGGCACUCUGGUGAGACUGCCGGUGACAAACCGGAGGAAGGUGGGGAUGACGUCAAAUCAUCAUGCCCCUUAUGACCUGGGCUACACACGUGCUACAAUGGAUGGUACAACGAGUUGCGAACUCGCGAGAGUAAGCUAAUCUCUUAAAGCCAUUCUCAGUUCGGAUUGUAGGCUGCAACUCGCCUACAUGAAGUCGGAAUCGCUAGUAAUCGCGGAUCAGCAUGCCGCGGUGAAUACGUUCCCGGGCCUUGUACACACCGCCCGUCACACCAUGAGAGUUUGU